GCUGACGUAGCUCAACUGGCAGAGCACCUGUUUUGUAAACAGGCGGUUAGGGGUUCGAUUCCCCUCGUCAGCU
RNAcentral lists this transfer RNA (73 nucleotides) under Gemmatimonadales bacterium. RNAcentral describes it as "tRNA-Thr". It matches the Rfam family "tRNA". Rfam says of the family: Transfer RNA (tRNA) molecules are approximately 80 nucleotides in length. Their secondary structure includes four short double-helical elements and three loops (D, anti-codon, and T loops). The record is from RNAcentral. Lineage: Bacteria; Pseudomonadati; Gemmatimonadota; Gemmatimonadia; Gemmatimonadales. RNAcentral also lists the same sequence under 1 other name.